This 594-nucleotide ribosomal RNA is filed under the name uncultured Bacteroidota bacterium. RNAcentral describes it as "bacterial SSU rRNA". It matches the Rfam family "Bacterial small subunit ribosomal RNA", at positions 122 to 715 of the family's 1533-position model. Lineage: Bacteria; Pseudomonadati; Bacteroidota. The record is from RNAcentral.
CAACCUGCCGAUGACUCGGGGAUAGCCUUUCGAAAGAAAGAUUAAUACCCGAUGGCAUAGUUCUUCCGCAUGGUAGAACUAUUAAAGAAUUUCGGUCAUCGAUGGGGAUGCGUUCCAUUAGGUUGUUGGCGGGGUAACGGCCCACCAAGCCUUCGAUGGAUAGGGGUUCUGAGAGGAAGGUCCCCCACAUUGGAACUGAGACACGGUCCAAACUCCUACGGGAGGCAGCAGUGAGGAAUAUUGGUCAAUGGACGAGAGUCUGAACCAGCCAAGUAGCGUGAAGGAUGACUGCCCUAUGGGUUGUAAACUUCUUUUAUACGGGAAUAAAGUGAGGCACGUGUGCCUUUUUGUAUGUACCGUAUGAAUAAGGAUCGGCUAACUCCGUGCCAGCAGCCGCGGUAAUACGGAGGAUCCGAGCGUUAUCCGGAUUUAUUGGGUUUAAAGGGAGCGUAGGCGGACGCUUAGGUCAGUUGUGAAAGUUUGCGGCUCAACCGUAAAAUUGCAGUUGAUACUGGGUGUCUUGAGUACAGUAGAGGCAGGCGGAAUUCGUGGUGUAGCGGUGAAAUGCUUAGAUAUCACGAAGAACUCCGAUUG